UUAAUUAUUUUAUUACUAAAUUUUUUUACUUAAAUUAUUUUUUUGUUGUAUUAAUUAUUUUGAAUAGAUUGUUUUUGUUAUAGUUUAUUAGUAAGGUGACUUAAAUUUGAAAUAUCUUUUAUUUUUUUGUAAGAAGAAUUAAUUUUUUGUACCUUGUGUAUCAGGGUUGAUAAAUUAAAAAUUAAUUAUUAUAAUUUUCCCGAAUUAGAAAGAGCUAAGAGACUAUUUAUUUGAUUGUUUUAUAAACCUUUAUAAUAGUUUUUUUGAAAUGAAAUGUUAUUCGUUUUCUAGGGUAUCUGGUUUUUUAAGAAAAGAAUUUAAUUCUAUUAUUUUUUGGCAAUUGUUUUUUUUUAAUUUUUGCUUUUAAAUAUUAAACGUUAGGAGGGAUGAGCUUUUUAACGAAUUAAUUAAAAAUUUAUUUAUAUUAUUUAUUAAGUAUAAUUAGUAUUGUUAAUCUUUUAUAUAAUUUUAUAGUUAUGUUUAUAUUUAUUUUAUUUUUAUUUAUUUUAAGUUUUUUAUUAAAAUUUUUUGUUUAAUAUUUUUUCUUUAGUAAUAAUGAUUAAAUUAGUAAAUUUUUUUGUAUUAAUAAUUAUUUUUUGAAAGGUUAUCAAAAGGAAUUCGGCAAAUUAAUUUUUCGCCUGUUUAUUAAAAACAUGUCUUUUUGAUUAUAAUUUAAGGUCUAAUCUGCUCAAUGAGGAGUUAAAUUGCCGCGGUAUUUUGACCGUGCAAAGGUAGCAUAAUAAUUAGUUUUUUUAUUGAAAGCUGGAAUGAAUGAUUGGACGAGAAAAUUACUGUCUCUUGUUAAUUUAUUUUUGAAUUUAAUUUUUAAGUUAAAAAGCUUAAAUUUUUUUUAAAGACGAGAAGACCCUAUAGAGUUUAAUAAAUUAAUUUUUAUUAUUUUUUUGGUAUUUUUUAAAAUUAUAAAUUUUUGUUUAUUUGGUUGGGGUGACUAUAAGAUUUGAAAAACUCUUUUAUGUUUAUAAUCAUUGAUUUUUGAAUAUUGAGCCUGAUUUUUUCAAGUUUAAGAUAAAUUACCUUAGGGAUAACAGCGUAAUUUCUUUUUAGAGUUCUUAUUGAAAUGGAAGUUUGCGACCUCGAUGUUGGAUUAAAAUUUAUUUAUGGUGCAGAAGCUUUAAUAUUAAGUCUGUUCGACUUUUAAAAUUUUACAUGAUCUGAGUUUAAACCGGUGUGAGCCAGGUUGGUUUCUAUCUUGACUUAUUUACGAUAUUUUAGUACGAAAGGACCAAUUAUCGGAUAUUUUUAUUUUUACAUUGAAUAUUAUU
Molecule: ribosomal RNA, 1283 nt
Filed under: Ludioschema vittiger
Lineage: Eukaryota; Metazoa; Arthropoda; Insecta; Coleoptera; Elateridae
Description: 16S ribosomal RNA
Rfam family: Archaeal large subunit ribosomal RNA (bases 1042-1200)
Source: RNAcentral